RNAcentral lists this ribosomal RNA (1577 nucleotides) under metagenome. RNAcentral describes it as "SSU rRNA". It matches the Rfam family "Eukaryotic small subunit ribosomal RNA", at positions 3 to 1391 of the family's 1831-position model. The record is from RNAcentral.
CCUGGUUGAUCCUGCCAGUAGUCAUAUGCUUGUUUCAAGGAUUAAGCCAUGCAAGUCUCAGAGUAAAUGGAUUGACAGUGGGUCUGCAGACGGCUCAUUAAAUCGGUGGCAAUCUACGCGGGGAAGGUGCCUUAUGGGCCCAGGUGGAUAACAAUGGUAACUCCAUUGCUAAUACAUGUCCGAAAAAUCUUACUUGCAUCAACCUCAUGGAGUAAAAUCUGUGGGGGCAGGGAAGAUACAGUUGACCGAAAUAAGAACCAACGCUAGCAAUAGCAGCGGUGAGUGGAUGAAACAGGUCAACCGAGUGAUAGCACACGACCUCGUGUCGGUGCAAGCCCGCAAGAGCUUCUGCCCUAUCAGCUUUUGACGGUAGUGUAGUGGACUACCGUGGCUGUAACGGGUAACGGGGAAUUAGGGUUCGAUUCCGGAGAGGGAGCCUGAGAAACGGCUACCACGUCUAAGGAUGGCAGCAGGCGCGCAAAUUGCCCAAUAGCAACACUGCUGAGGCAGCGAAGAGAAAUAGCAACUUCUCGUACUUUGUGCGAAGGAGAUUGCAAUGGAUGAUAUCUAAACCUGUCAAUGAGUAUCAAUUGGUGGACAAGUCUGGUGCCAGCACCCGCGGUAAUUCCAGCACCAAUAGCGUAUAUUAAUGCUGCUGCUGUUAAAAAGCUCGUAGUUGGAUCCAGAGUACAGGUUGCAAGGCGGCUCAGUUUGGGUAAACCAGCGUACUGCUGGGAUGCACAGGUUGGGGUAAACCCCUUGCACCAAGACCUGUCCUCUAUGAACGGUGGUAAUGGUGCCUUGCAAGUAGCCUUUUCGGAGGUGAAAGCGCCAACGUGUUAACCAUACGCAUACGGGUCGACCACCGAUGUUACUGUGAACAAACCAGCGUGCCCAAAGCAGGCGUCCGCCGUGAAUGAUAAAGCAUGGAAUAACAAGGGAUCGAUUCUCUCGGCUCUUUUUGUUGGUUCUUAACCCGAGAAGGAAUAAUCAAAACGAUGUUCUUAGCAUGUCUCUUUGAGGCGUGUUUAAGUCAUCGCUACACGGGAUCAAUAGGGACUGCCGGGGUCGUACGUACUCCUACGUCAGAGGUGAAAUUCUUAGAUCGUAGGAAGACGAACUUCUGCGAAAGCAUUCGACAAGAAUGUCUUCAUUAAUCAAGAACGAGAGUGUGGGGAUCGAAGAUGAUCAGAUACCGUCGUAGUCCACUACUGUAAACGAUGCCGUCUCAGGAUCGAGGGAUGCUCAACCAUGACUCCCACGGCACUACCCCGAAACGAGAAAUCAAAGAUUAUGGGUUCAGGGGGGAGUACAUUCGCAAGGCUGAAACUUAAAGGAAUUGACGGAAUGACACCACCAGGCGUGGAGUAUGCGGCUUAAUUUGACCCAACACGGGGAAUUUUACUAGGUCAGGACAAUGUAAGGAUUGACAGAUUGAGAGCUCUUUCUCGAUCCAUUGUGUGGUGGUGCAUGGCCGCUCCUGGUUGGUGGAGUGAUUUGUCUGGUUGAUUCCGUUAACGAACGAGAUCUCGACCCUUAAAUAGGUGGCUUGUCGCUUAGACUUUAUCCUCGGAUUC